UGACAAUCAAAUUUGAUACAGACACAAUUAUUAUAACAUUGUAAGGGACACAAAUGUUAAUUUUUCAUAUGACAUUAUCCUUUUAUUUUUAAAAUGUAGUGAUUUCCUAUGAAAUCAGAGGAGGAGUGUACUGUUUUGGUAAAGUGCCGAAUUGACCAUGUCGUCCUUUUUGUAUCAUUUCACUCCCCAGUCUCUUUUAUCCCUCGAUAUUUGUCAAAACUGAAGCACGUUGUUUUUCUAUUUGAAGUUAAAUCCACCAC
Molecule: long non-coding RNA, 260 nt
Filed under: Mytilus galloprovincialis (Mediterranean mussel)
Lineage: Eukaryota; Metazoa; Mollusca; Bivalvia; Mytilida; Mytilidae
Source: RNAcentral